AGCUAUCGGGNCNAUACCCCGAAAAUGUUGGAUUACACCCUUCCCGUACUA
RNAcentral lists this transfer RNA (51 nucleotides) under Equus sp. RNAcentral describes it as "tRNA-Met". The record is from RNAcentral. Lineage: Eukaryota; Metazoa; Chordata; Mammalia; Perissodactyla; Equidae.